GUGCCAGCAGCCGCGGUAAUACCGGCAGCACGAGUGAUGACCGCUAUUAUUGGGCCUAAAGCGUUCGUAGCUGGCCGGACAAGUCCGUUGGGAAAUCCGCGCGCUUAACGCGCGGGCGUCCAGCGGAAACUGUUCGGCUUGGGACCGGAAGAUCUGAGGGGUACGUCCGGGGUAGGAGUGAAAUCCUGUAAUCCUGGACGGACCACCGGUGGCGAAAGCGCCUCAGGAGGACGGAUCCGACAGUGAGGAACGAAAGCUAGGGUCUCGAACCGGAUUAGAAACCCCAGUAGUCC
RNAcentral lists this ribosomal RNA (293 nucleotides) under uncultured prokaryote. Its description in RNAcentral is "partial 16S ribosomal RNA". It matches the Rfam family "Archaeal small subunit ribosomal RNA", at positions 455 to 747 of the family's 1478-position model. The record is from RNAcentral.